This 1966-nucleotide long non-coding RNA is filed under the name Marmota monax (woodchuck). Lineage: Eukaryota; Metazoa; Chordata; Mammalia; Rodentia; Sciuridae. The record is from RNAcentral.
UCCCUUCAGGCAGGAAGAGCCAACAGUGCCCAGCUUUCACUCCUGGCCAGGAGGGCCGGCCCCAGCACAUCCCACAGUGUCUUGGUCCCCAGGGACCACAGUGGCCCAGGCCCAGGAUUUGCCCUCCACGCUGCCCAGCCCCCGUGAGGCACAGCCAGACAACCCCAGGAUCCCACCUUCUAGGUGGCCGUAGCCCCUGGGAGCCACACCCAGGCAGGGGUGCUGCUGCGUGCCCCGCCUCUCAUUCAUUCCAUAGGUGAACUCUUGGCAGAGGGCGCGUGGCCACCUGGCACUGCACCCCUGCCCUCUGGCCGGCCCCACGCUGGGCCCCUGCUCCAGCGCCACAUUUCCUCGCCUCUCAGCCUCCUCCUCCUCCGGGGUUGCUGUGGAGAGGCCCGGGGUGACCAGCCAUGGUGCAGGCCACACAUGUCGUCUGAGGGCUGCAGGUUUAAAACAACCAACCUUCCGCCAGCCGGGUGUGACGUUCUAGGGGCCCAGCUUAACCCCCGGGUCUUGGGAGGCGUCCGAUGACUGGGAACCCACUGCCCUCCCUGAGGAGCCGUGACCAGCUGGCCAUGAGUCUGGGGCUUCAUAGGGCAGUGGACAGGCCCCCCCCCGUCACCUGGCCCCAGCAAUAUCCGCAGUUCGGACCACACACCGCAGGCUGUGGCAACGCAGACCACGGUAGACUCACCUCCGCACAGAUCGGAAUUUGUGUAGCCAAAAACCUAGAUGGCGGCAGGGGAGCCCGGGGAGCGGGAAGGGUCUCACGGAAGGUGAGCUGGGCUCCCGAGCCUACUGCAUGGGCGGGUCCAGCUCAGCCAUGCACCUGGGACAGGUGAACUCCAGGACUCACCUGGGGAGGGGCCAGAGAGGACAAGAGAACCUGGGGCCCUUUAGCCCAAUGACACGGGGGCAGGGGAGGGACACGGGGCUUUGGGCCAGGAGGCGGCUCUGGUGGGCACAGUGCUCGGCCACAGGUGCUUUGCCCUUUGUCCCUGCAGGCCCCGUGGGGGUGAGCGGGCGCUGGGCCGCCCAUGUGUUCCUACCGUGUCAGCAGUGGGGCUCGACUGGUAAGGUGUGUUUCCAUUAGGUCAGUCCCCAUGUGGGGAAAGAGCCUCCUCACCUCCCUGCCGCCAGAGUAGGCUCCAGACGUGCGCCAGGUACCAUGGGAAAAGGAGAAGGCCAGGACCCGGGAGGAGGAGGCCAUGAAGAACCUGCUAAGGUUGAGAGGCGGCUGCAGCGGAGCCCUUGCUCUGCACAGCCGAGGCCCUGGGUUCCAGCCCCGGUGCCAAAACCAGAAAGUCACUUGUCAAAAUUCCUAAGAUUAAAUUUAAAAGGAAGACGGCCACCCGUGGAAGGCUUGUUUUUGACCACAGACUUUUCGUUGACAGAUGGGGGCAGGAGAUCUCAACAAGUGCUCACUGAGCACCUACUAAGUGCCAGGGCUGGAGGUCCUCCAGGGCCACAGGACCUUGUCCCCGUCUCCAUGCUGUCUCUGUCCCCAGGAGAGAGAGACAUCAUUCUAUCCACACAGGCAGAUGUGCGGGCAGCCGUGGAGGGAAGGUGCCCAGGGCUAUGGGGAGACCUGGCCAAGGCUGGGCAGUCUGGGGAGGGGCAGGGUGGCGCUGGCGCAGCAGGCAGAGGCUGGAGGGCCCCUCCACCGGCUUCGGGAGCCCUCCUCCAGGGCUGAGGCGGGGCGGAUGCGCCACCCUGCUUGUGGCGUCUUGUAGCUGGAGUGGCCCAGCCAGAGCCCCAGGCAGGGCUUGAAGUCGUGGUCAGACAAGCUCUUGUCACAGGCUGGCAGCAGAGAUGCCCCCUGCCCAGGGCAGCACAGCAGAGGUCUCGAGGUGGCAUUUGGUGGCCAGCCUCUGGGGCCAGCCUCAGUGCUUGUCCUGAGAGCCGCUGGAACCAGGGCAGGCCUCCUGCCUCCUUCCCCAGGGGGCAGCUGCCGGGCACGGAGUCA